AGCGCGCCCCGACUUGAACGGAGCUCUUUUUCUGUCAUUGCGAGUGCCAAAAUUUCUUUUGAUCGCUUCGCGCCAUUCGCAAUGGCAGAAAAAAGCGGGAGUGGAAGGCGGAUAAAGGC
RNAcentral lists this unclassified non-coding RNA (119 nucleotides) under Epilithonimonas mollis. RNAcentral describes it as "Chryseobacterium molle Flavo-1 RNA". Lineage: Bacteria; Pseudomonadati; Bacteroidota; Flavobacteriia; Flavobacteriales; Weeksellaceae. The record is from RNAcentral.